UACGUAGGCAGCGAGCGUUGUUCGGAGUUACUGGGCGUAAAGAGUGCGUAGGCGGUUUUCUAAGUUUGGUGUGAAAUCUCCCGGCUUAACUGGGAGGGUGCGCCGAAGACUGGAGGGCUUGAGUAUGGGAGAGGUAAGCGGAAUUCCUGGUGUAGCGGUGAAAUGCGUAGAUAUCAGGAGGAACACCUGCGGUGUAGACGGCUUACUGGACCAUAACUGACGCUGAGGCACGAAAGCGUGGGUAGCAAACAGG
RNAcentral lists this ribosomal RNA (253 nucleotides) under uncultured bacterium. RNAcentral's name for it is "partial 16S ribosomal RNA". It matches the Rfam family "Bacterial small subunit ribosomal RNA", at positions 524 to 776 of the family's 1533-position model. The record is from RNAcentral.